UCGGAAUGGGGUGACGGUGGAGGUGGGUGGAGGAUGGAGGGGACCUGCUCCCUCUUUCAUCCAGAGAAGCGGGGCGGUUGGAGGGGGUGGGGGGAACGAUCGAGGGGCCCUUCUCUCGGCUCUGCGCCCUACGCCCCCGCUUGCGGGCGCCCUGCGCAUCUCUGCCUCCGGCCCAGCCCUGCCCCGGAGACGCGCGCUCCGGCCGGCGCAGAGGGAUCCGGCUAGGCGUCGGGCCCCGGGGUCCGCGCCAGUCUUGGGGGGCGCGAGUCGAGGAGGAGGCUCUCUUAGGGUCAGAUCCUGAUUCACUCCUUUCCUCGGGGCCGGGGGCCGGGGCAGGCAAGAGAUAUCCAGAUGGAAGAUGGAGCGGUGGGGGGCGAGAGAACACGUGGGGAAAACCAAAAACGCAAGAGUCCCUGUGUUCUGUCCCCAGCUCUUAAUAGCUGCCCUUUCUUUUCUCUCGGGCCCCGGGGAGCAGGAGUCGGGACGGCUCGGGGAAGCUGGGCACCCCCACCCCACCCCUUCGCUUCCCUUGGCCUUUUCCGCCCUGUUUCACUUCCUUUCGCAUCCCCACCACCCCUUCCUCGCCAGACCUCUUCCUCCUUCCUCUUCGCGGAGGCUCCCUAGGGUGACCCCAAGGAGGGUCGCGCACCACCCUCUGCGGGCAAACUUUGUGCCUCUCGGCGUCUCCCUUUUGUGUUAAGUUGCGAGAGAUGGGAGGGGUCGGAGACCCACAACCACCUCGCACCUUCCCCAAGCCUAGACAUCCAGGGUAUUCGCGCGCACCCUCGGAUUCACCCGGAGAGGGAGAAGGUCCCCGGGAACAAAAGCCGCGACACUCCGCCCUCGCCAGCCCCGGGGCGCGGUGGUCUGUGCGCCACCGAGCGUCCCGCCUGACUCCCUUCCCCGCGCUGCGAGUCAGUCCCGGAGGGGGCUGGGGCGCUGCUGAGGGACGCGCUGGCCGCGUCUCGGAACCCCUCAUCUUCUCCUCCUUCCCCCCAUCACCUCCGAGGCUGGCUCAUUCUUUUCUCGGUUGCAAAGUCCUUGGGGGAAAAAUACGCGGAGAGUGCGGCGUGCGUCUGGAAAGGGCAGGGGCGGGUGGCGGGGCUGCACGAGUUCUCCCCUCCUGUGCAUCAAAGGAGGCGUUUGUCGGAUCGAGGCGCGGCCACUUCCCUGGCAGCGCCGGGCACUGUGAUUUAGUUCCCCCCGGGGGGCGCGGGCUGCUGGGGAGGGUCCUCGGGGUCAUUUUUUUUUUUAGGGUGCAGAUAAAAGGCUGGAAAUUGAGCGAAGAUUAAGACGGAGAAGAUGGCGCCUCUGCAGUGCAGCAAAGAAAAGCUGUGGAGGCUGCAGCCUGGGAAAUCCACCCACCACUAGGUGUAUAUAACAAGUCUGCCCCAUUCAUCCAACUCUCCCAACAUUCAGCUGACGCCUGUGCCAAAUCACUGUUUUCCUUUUUAUCUGAAGAUGCUUAGAAGUUGUUUGCUUGACAGCUGGGGCAAAAAAGGUCGUAAUUUUGCAUCGUUUGGGUUCCCAUUCGGUAUUUUACCAUUCGUCACCUCACCUCCCCGUUUUUACCUCCAACUUUUCCCCUUCCUCAUGGUAAUUUUCCCAAAAAAACAAUUUCUGAACAGAUGUUUUCCUGUAAUUCCACUGAGACUGUACUGACUCUCACACCCGGACAGCGUUUUAGUCCCUAAUUUACAAGGUCAUUGAACUUUUUCCUCUUCUUUUACCUACGAGUGGCUCUAAAGUGGCUCAAGAAUCACCUCGGGGCUCGUUAAGGCAGAUUGUUUUAAGAGUUGAAGAAUUUGGUUAUUCUGUUUUAAAAAAUGCAUUUAAUUAAGGGAGCUAGGCUUUUUCCAGUACUUAAAAUUUACUCCUACAAUUAUUUGUUUUCUCAUUGUCUUAUUACACGUUGAAAGACACAAAUUAAGUAAUUAAAAGCCUUUAUAAGCUUUUGUCAAAAAGUAGAUGUUUAAGUUUUUUGAGCAGUAUAUUUUUGUGUGUGAAAGAGGCAAAUAUGAUUCAGAUUUCUUUUUCAGCCUGUUUGAUUGCAGUUUUUGCUCUUCCAUCUUUUUGGACAUUUUCACUGGUUACUGUCACCUCCUUCAAAGGGUGGAGGUGAGAUGCAUGUUAAUUCAUUUUGCAAAGCAUUAAGGUAGGCAGUUCACUCUGCUGAGGUUUGAGGGGAUUUCUGGAGCUAAGUCACUGUCCACUGAAAAGAUGUUAAUUAUGACUUGACUGUCUUUUGUAGGGCUUAGAAAAUAGGUCUGCUGCAGAUGACUUGAGACAAGAAAUGAAUAAGGGCAAUGAUCACGGGAUGGGGGGGUGGGCUCGGCCUCUGGGAAAAGCAUCAUUACCGGAGCUGAUGAUUUUCCCUGGUACAGUGACAGGGUAUGAGUUAAAAAGGCCCUGACAUUUAUUUAAACUGGCUUCCUCUUAAAUUUUAUUUUCCAGUAUUGUGGGGUUUAACCUAAUUCACAAGUAUCUGCUUUGAUUGCGGUGCUAAUUCAGAGAUUAUAGAUACCUACUCACACUGGUCAAAACAGCCCUAAUGGUGGAUGCCUGGGGUCACAAUUGUGAAGCUCAGAUUUGAUGGUGAGCUAUAAGGAGUCACCGUUUCUGGCUGACCAGUGGGAAGCCAUGAUAACCAUAGGGCACCCAAGCGGCUGUCUUGUCACCCUGUUGAGCAGAGGUACCUGAUGGGCACUUGGCAGGCCAUUAGUACUGCAGAGAAGUACUCCAGACAGAAUAAUGAUCCCUGGUUCUGACUGGGGAAAUAAAGAGAAACAUACAACUAAAUAGAUCACAAGGUUAGAUUAGGAAUGAUUGAAAAGAAAGGAUGUGGUCCAUUGGUCUGAAGGAAAACAGGACAGACUCCACAUAAAGAACAGACGUGAUUGCAAAGGGGUAAGGGGAAGGCAGGGAUUGGAUUGGGAGUUUGGGACUGGCAGAUGCAACCUCUUAUAUAUGGGAUGGAUAAAUAACAGGUCCUACAGUGUAGCACAGGGAAUUAUGUUCAAUACCUUGUAAUAAACCAUAUGGAAAAGAAAAAAAGAAAAAUGUAGAGGUAAUCGUCAUGAAAAAAGGCUUUCUCCCUUUUGCUAGAGGGCCUCUAUUUUAUGUUUAUGGUGUUUUAUGUUUAUGGUGUACUAGAGACUUCUGUGCAGAUAUUUGUAUGAAGCUGAAGGUGUCAGUCAUUCUUGAAAUAAGCAGAGCUAUUACAUACCUUUCCUGUGGCUCUUAAACUACCAUUGAAGAAUAUGGUAAAAUUCAGUAGAAAUCUCUAGUCUCUUUCUGCACAUUUGAUCUAGGUGGGGAUAUGUAUUACUUUAAGAGACUUAGAAAGUAUCUUUGAUUACUAUAGUUCUCUAAACUCUGCCUAGUUGUAUCAGUUACAAAUGCAAAGAUAAACCUUAUACAUGUACUUUAUAAAUAAAGCUCUAGGAUGUAAGGUUUACUUUGACUUGCAUACUGUAUUCUCGUGUUCCCAGGAAGUUUGCAGAGUAAAUAAGACAGGCACAUGAUUAUAAAAGAAAACAGAAAAUGUUAAGUACCAAGAGGAAAGUACUGAUUAAGUGGUAUACUGAGUAAAAGUAUUAACAGUAUAAACAUCUGUAUAUAAGGAAUAAAGGAACCAUGGGAUGAGAUAAUCCUUGAGAAUUUCCUAAUGAUUCCUUUCCAGCCAGAUUUGUAUCUUAGGUUUGGGGAAGGGAGUUUAAAUCUUUGCAUUUAUAGUAUCUGUUUACAUACCUGUCUCGAGAGCACAUGCCCCGAGGAUGUGGGCAGAGCCAGUGUGGGAUUUAAUUUUCCUUGUGUCCCUAUUUAUUCAUUAGGGCCAUUUUAAGUUGAGUCUCCUGGGGCCAAGCUCUGGUCUGUACCUCUGAAGAUAGCCUGGUGAACAAAAACCAUCACUUGCUUCAGGAAGCUUCCAGUCUAGUGGGCAAGACAGAGGAUAAACAAAUCAUCCUACAUGUGUGCUCAUGAACUGUGACAGAUGGUGAGACGGAUGGCAAAGGUGUAGGAUACACGCUGGAGAGGAGUGCCUGCUCAGACGCUAAAUUAUGUCUGACUCUUUGCCACCCCAUGGACUGUAGCACACCAGGCUCCUCUGUCCGGAGGAUUUCCCAGGCAAGAGUACUGCAGUGGGUUGCCAUCUCCUUCUCCCUGGGCUCUUCCUGACCCAGGGAUCGAACCCAGGUCUCCUGCCUUGACAGGCAGAUUCUUUACUCCUGAGCCACGAGGGAGGCCCGGGAGAGGAAUAGCGAAUUCCGAAUAAGGAUUGAGGGGCCAAGAGCUCUGAUGCAGCAUCUUCAUUAGAACCUUGACUGAAGAAGUGGGUACCCGAUGAAAACACUGAUUCACUGGGCAGCAGCAAGGAGCAUGGGGAAAAUAAAAUGUUUCUUUUGUUUUUUGAUUCUUUUCCUGGUGCUCUUCUACCUUCAUGUUCCAAUUGACUAUGAAAUGGUUUUCUUUUCAUAGUAGGACCUCACAUACUUGUGGAAGUAUUCCUCUAUACAUUCUUCCAUAUGGAUAGGGUGGGAAUUGAUACUCACACCAGCUUCUGCAAAUCCUUGGGGACGCUGGCACCCUGUGGCUUAAUGGUUCAUAUCCAGAUACACCCUCUUCAGUGGCUGGAGGAAGACAGGCUGGCAGGCGGAGGAGGCCAAAGUGAUGGAAUGAAUAGACCCCCCGCCCUCCUGAAGGAGUAGCAAGCUUAAGCCAGAAAAAUGUAUAUUUCUUCAUUUUCCUUGUAUUCAUUAGUAAAAGGAAAGCUAAUAGUACCUGAACCCUCAAACUGAAUUUGGAAAUGAAAACCAGGAUGAAGGGGGAAAUGUUAUGUAACUUUCUUCAGUUUAAUGUGGUCCCUUUAAGAAACAACCAUUUUGGUGAAGACACUGAUGUUUUCCUUUGAAAAAAGAUCUCAUGAAUUUUCCUCUUCAGGUUAAAGAAAAUGAAUAAACCAGUUUGGCCAAGGAAGAUACCAGAUGCCAGCAAAAGAAUUUUGGUCCUACCUAGACUGGAAGCUUUAAAUAAUUUUCACCAAAGGACAAGGAAACCUAAAAGCAAGACUGCCUGAGAUGGCAACACUUCUGGAAGAAACCAACUUUCAAAAUAAAAUGAAUUAUGUUAAUAUC
Bubalus bubalis (water buffalo) is the source of this 5135-nucleotide long non-coding RNA. RefSeq lists it as uncharacterized. The transcript has 2 exons. Lineage: Eukaryota; Metazoa; Chordata; Mammalia; Artiodactyla; Bovidae. The record is from RefSeq and is a predicted model, not a curated record.